UACGUAGGGGGCGAGCGUUAUCCGGAUUCACUGGGUGUAAAGGGAGCGUAGACGGCCAAGCAAGCCAGGGGUGAAAGCCCGGGGCCCAACCCCGGGACUGCCCUUGGAACUGCAUGGCUGGAGUGCGGGAGAGGUAAGUGGAAUUCCUAGUGUAGCGGUGAAAUGCGUAGAUAUUAGGAGGAACACCAGUGGUGAAGGCGGCUUACUGGACUGUAACUGACGUUGAGGCUCGAAAGCGUGGGGAGCAAACAGG
This 253-nucleotide ribosomal RNA is filed under the name uncultured bacterium. Its description in RNAcentral is "partial 16S ribosomal RNA". It matches the Rfam family "Bacterial small subunit ribosomal RNA", at positions 524 to 776 of the family's 1533-position model. The record is from RNAcentral.